AAAUAGGCUACUGCACAGUUCAGAUGUUUCCAGUGCAACCAAACACUACACCAGUUGGUCUAUAUGAUUAUUUAAUUUGUCAGGUAUAUGGUAAUCAGCUGCAGUGUUUUUUAUAAACCUUUAUUUAUCCAGGGCAGGGUCACUGUUUACAAAUACUGUUUUGUUUUUUUAGAAAGGCUAUGCCUCAUACUCAUACUGUACAAAUAUAAUCCCAUCUGGAAGCUGCCAAGCCAUACUAAAUCCACAGCCUUAUCUGUUGGAAAGGUUUAGACUGGGGCAUGACUCGCAUCAGUGUGCUGGUAUUACAGAAACACUCAAACCUAUAAAAAUCCAAGAAAUUUGAAUAGGACAUUGAUAUCAUAUAAAUAUACAGUACUACUCUGCUUUGUCAAUAUAUCUUUGGAACUUCAGAAGGCAGCAGCCAAUUUAAUCAACCCUAAUUAAUUAGUUCAACACUACUUGACAGGUUCACUUCUGAGCCAUAGACAGGUGACAAAUUAAAGGAAGAAAACCUGAAUAAAUGAGUGGAGAAACAGAAUGCAAAUGCGUUCAUACCUGGGUGUCACUGAAUGGUUUUAUGAGCAUGGAAACUAUGUGAAUCAUAUGAUAUGACCUUCCCAGUCAGCAGGUCUGACCCCAAUUGAACAGGAGAUUUUGGACCCAAAUAAGGGAAUGUCUACUGGAUGAGUGGUGUUGAUCCUUCCAGUAGAAAGCACUGAAGAUGAUCUGGCGGCUCGUUACUAAGACAUCAAGACAGUUAAUGUUGUUUU
Long non-coding RNA from Sander lucioperca (pikeperch), 770 nucleotides. RefSeq lists it as uncharacterized. The record is from RefSeq and is a predicted model, not a curated record. Lineage: Eukaryota; Metazoa; Chordata; Actinopteri; Perciformes; Percidae. The transcript is spliced from 5 exons.